This 697-nucleotide long non-coding RNA is filed under the name Pan troglodytes (chimpanzee). Its description in RNAcentral is "lincRNA". Lineage: Eukaryota; Metazoa; Chordata; Mammalia; Primates; Hominidae. The record is from RNAcentral.
GGUAAUGAGCUUGUAUUAUGACUCAAUAGCAUCACUUUAUCACUUUAACACAGAUGGAGGCCUAAAUAACCAUAGGGCAAUGGUUCUUCUUAGAUGCAGAAGGACACAUUUAUAUAAUCUUAGGGACCCCAUCUCUGAGGUCACUCAUAAUUUAUAUUAAUUCAUUGUUAUUGCCAUUGCCCCAAGAAUAGAUAAGGAUAAGACAUCCUGUAGUACAGGUAGCAGAGAUAUAAACUAUUCUUAUUCUUGUGUCUUGUCUAUAGGAAGGGAGUGUAUCCUGGUGUAUGACAGCAUAUAGUAGAGACCAUUGUCAAUUAGGGCCUGUGAACUGAGACAGGGUGACUGGCUAAGUCCACAACCCAUUAGAAACCCAGAAAUAAUCAAAUCAUGAGGGAUCAUGGAAAGGAAGCUGAAUUUGCCAAGUUUUGCCACGUGGGCAUUGCAUGCCUAUGUGAUUAACCACCAAUAAAAACCUGGGACAUCAAAGAAUAAAUAAGCUGCUCUAAUUGCCAAGAAUUCACAUGUGGUUGUAUGCAGCAUUACUGGGAGAUUGAAGUGUAUCUGCAUGUGAUUCUGCUGUGAUGGACACUUGUAAGUUUGUGCCUGGAGUCUCCUGGACUUUGCCCUGAGAAUCUUUUUCCUUUGUUGAUAUGACUCUGCAUCCUUUUGUUUUAAUAAACUGUAAACAUGAGUAUAA